RNAcentral lists this ribosomal RNA (312 nucleotides) under uncultured bacterium. RNAcentral's name for it is "bacterial SSU rRNA". It matches the Rfam family "Bacterial small subunit ribosomal RNA", at positions 30 to 334 of the family's 1533-position model. The record is from RNAcentral.
AUUGAACGCUGGCGGUAUGCCUAACACAUGCAAGUCGAACGGUAACAGAGGAAAGCUUGCUUUCUUGCUGACGAGUGGCGGACGGGUGAGUAACGCGUGGGAAUCUACCUGAUAGUUGGGGAUAGCCCGGAGAAAUCCGGAUUAAUACCGAAUAAUGUCUACGGACGAAAAGGUGCCUCUGCUUGCAAGCACUUGCUAACAGAUGAGCCCGCGUUAGAUUAGUUAGUUGGUGGGGUAAAGGCCUACCAAGACUGCGAUCUAUAGCUGGUUUGAGAGGAUGAUCAGCCACAUUGGGACUGAGACACGGCCCAG